UACGUAGGGUGCGAGCGUUAAUCGGAAUUACUGGGCGUAAAGCGUGCGCAGGCGGUUUUGUAAGACCGAUGUGAAAUCCCCGGGCUCAACCUGGGAACUGCAUUGGUGACUGCAAGGCUGGAGUGCGGCAGAGGGGGAUGGAAUUCCGAGUGUAGCAGUGAAAUGCGUAGAUAUGCGGAGGAACACCGAUGGCGAAGGCAAUCCCCUGGGCCUGCACUGACGCUCAUGCACGAAAGCGUGGGGAGCAAACAGGA
RNAcentral lists this ribosomal RNA (254 nucleotides) under uncultured prokaryote. RNAcentral's name for it is "partial 16S ribosomal RNA". It matches the Rfam family "Bacterial small subunit ribosomal RNA", at positions 524 to 777 of the family's 1533-position model. The record is from RNAcentral.